AGGAAAGAGAGUGUGAAAAUAUAAGAGGAAAAAUAGUGUAAGAAGAAAGAGAGUCUAAGAAUGUGUAAGAAGAAAGAGAGUGUAAGAUUGUGUAAGAAGAAAAAGAGUGUAAGAAAGAGUAUUUAAAAAUCCAAAGUAAGAAUUAUAGAGUAAUCUACACAUGUUAAAUCAUGUGUAUAUUACUAAUUUUGACACCAGUUAUGUAUGUAUAUUCAGCAAAUUCUCUCUAAAAUAUUUAAAUAUUUAACCUAAACAAAUAAUCAUAAUUUUAUAUGCUUUACUUCAAAAUGAAUAGAAGAAACACAAUUGGAAAU
This 314-nucleotide long non-coding RNA is filed under the name Brassica napus (rape). RNAcentral's name for it is "long non-coding RNA (BNAP_LNC002913)". Lineage: Eukaryota; Viridiplantae; Streptophyta; Magnoliopsida; Brassicales; Brassicaceae. The record is from RNAcentral.